UAACACAUGCAAGUCGAGCGGGGGAAGGUAGCUUGCUACCGGACCUAGCGGCGGACGGGUGAGUAAUGCUUAGGAAUCUGCCUAUUAGUGGGGGACAACAUCUCGAAAGGGAUGCUAAUACCGCAUACGUCCUACGGGAGAAAGCAGGGGAUCUUCGGACCUUGCGCUAAUAGAUGAGCCUAAGUCGGAUUAGCUAGUUGGUGGGGUAAAGGCCUACCAAGGCGACGAUCUGUAGCGGGUCUGAGAGGAUGGUCCGCCACACUGGGACUGAGACACGGCCCAGACUCCUACGGGAGGCAGCAGUGGGGAAUAUUGGACAAUGGGGGGAACCCUGAUCCAGCCAUGCCGCGU
Molecule: ribosomal RNA, 351 nt
Filed under: Acinetobacter baumannii OIFC083
Lineage: Bacteria; Pseudomonadati; Pseudomonadota; Gammaproteobacteria; Moraxellales; Moraxellaceae
Description: bacterial SSU rRNA
Rfam family: Bacterial small subunit ribosomal RNA
Source: RNAcentral